CUGGGCGUUAAGUUGCAGGGUAUAGACCCGAAACCCGGUGAUCUAGCCAUGGGCAGGUUGAAGGUUGGGUAACACUAACUGGAGGACCGAACCGACUAAUGUUGAAAAAUUAGCGGAUGACUUGUGGCUGGGGGUGAAAGGCCAAUCAAACCGGGAGAUAGCUGGUUCUCCCCGAAAGCUAUUUAGGUAGCGCCUCGUGAAUUCAUCUCCGGGGGUAGAGCACUGUUUCGGCAAGGGGGUCAUCCCGACUUACCAACCCGAUGCAAACUGCGAAUACCGGAGAAUGUUAUCACGGGAGACACACGGCGGGUGCUAACGUCCGUCGUGAAGAGGGAAACAACCCAGACCGCCAGCUAAGGUCCCAAAGUCAUGGUUAAGUGGGAAACGAUGUGGGAAGGCCCAGACAGCCAGGAUGUUGGCUUAGAAGCAGCCAUCAUUUAAAGAAAGCGUAAUAGCUCACUGGUCGAGUCGGCCUGCGCGGAAGAUGUAACGGGGCUAAACCAUGCACCGAAGCUGCGGCAGCGACACUAUGUGUUGUUGG
This 541-nucleotide ribosomal RNA is filed under the name Escherichia coli. Its description in RNAcentral is "partial 23S ribosomal RNA". It matches the Rfam family "Bacterial large subunit ribosomal RNA", at positions 688 to 1227 of the family's 2925-position model. Lineage: Bacteria; Pseudomonadati; Pseudomonadota; Gammaproteobacteria; Enterobacterales; Enterobacteriaceae. The record is from RNAcentral.